CCAUCAUUUCUCCAAUUAUUAUACACUUUCCCCACUCACUCCCCUGCAUCUCUCUCUCCCUCUCUCUCUCUCUCUACGGAUCCACCGCGGGCUGCUGCUCCUUCACGAUCACUUCAUCGUCGAACGCGCGCUCCGGCAGCUCCCUCCCGCCGCCGCCCCCGCCCUCCUCCUUCACAUGCCCAGCUCUCACAGCCCCCUCGUAGUCGCUCACGUUCCCAUAGAUCAGCGCGGUCGCUCCCAGACCCGCCCCCAGGAACGCCGCUCCGAACGAAGCCCCUAUCUCCCCGGGAACGGCGGACGCCACGGCGAAGCCGGCGCAGGCGCCGAUCCCUCCGACCCACGAGUGCCACGCCGCGAAAGCCCCUUCCUUCCCGCACGGCGCGGCGUCCAGGAUCAGGACCCGCCCGAACGCGUGCAGUGUCCCCGUCGACGUGCCCUGUAUCGCCGCGAACAGGAGUAUGUGCUCCUUCGCCCAUGUCUUUUCCUUGAAGUAGAACCCCAUUCCUGAUGUGAGCAUCGAGAGCGCGAAGCCCAGGAUUUGCAUUUUCACUGCGCUUGUUCGAAGCACGUGUUGGAGCGGGUGCAUCAGGGGGAGAGAGAGUAUGGGGAACAAGAAGUAGGUGAGCAUGAGGUAGAGUAUAUAAACUGGCUCUAGGCAUAGCUGGCCAAUGACGAAGAGGACACCUCCGGUGAAAAUGCACAUCGUCGUGAAAGAUCCCAAGCAAACGCUGACGAGCCCCCCGACUGCUUGUGGAAAUGCCAAAGUGGAGAAAAAGUGGGAUAUUGGUGUACUGGUUGAGGGAAGUCCGGAUCUUUGUGCGACGACGACGUGGAGUAUUCCGACGAGCCACAUGAUGCCGCUGAAGAUGGAGACCACCCACAUACCGACCAACUUCGAAUGGAUGUCGAGCAUGUGGUGGGUGAAGGUGGUGAUGGCGGCAGAGCCUAAGGAGCCGACAGCAGUGGCGAUGAGCGAGAGCCAGGCAGAUGCUGCCGUCCGGAGGUGGAACUGGUAUCUGUCGAGGGCAGGGCCGGUGAAGCCGCGAAUCAUGAGGCCGAGGUGGCGCGUGUGUGCGGCGGCGGCAAUGGUGUGGGCGGCAACGAUGGCGGCAAUAUAGGGAGGGAAGGUCCACGUUGAGUGGGAGGAUCCGGUGGGGAGGCAGAAGACGAAGCCGAUGACUGUCGCAGCUCCCGCGACGAGUUGUUGGUUGCGGCUGUGGUCGAGGUAGAAAGAAGCGAAGCCAAGGAGUGGAGCUGCCAGGAUUAGGCCUGUGACCCAAGAAGCUGAUACCCACUCUAGAGGCCAAUCCGCUGAAACUCCUGUCCCAUCCUUGAGGAGGCUGAGGUACACUUUUAAAAGUUUGGCUGAUGAGGAGAGGGAAAACUAUCGGCACAAAGACCGUCUGGACGAAGUAUGAGCAAAGCCCGUACAAGUACCAAGAGUAGACCUCCACUUUGGAUGGCUUCUCUUCGAUGCUCAGAUGCUCCGCAUAAACUUCUCUUGCCCUCUCGAUCUUCAUUCCGGUGUCGUGAACAUCAGGCGUCGCCGCUAUAUCACUGUCUGUCCUGACUUCACCAGGACCAGUCACUGAUGUUUCUGUUUCCCCUCCCAUUGAGUAUCAGCUAAUGUCCUAUGGAACUGAUUAUGAUUGGGUAAUGGUCACGCAGAGAGAAAAAGAAACAGAGGAAGUGAGGAGUGGGAGAGCACUAUAGAAUUGGGAAGUGGACUAUAAGGAAGAAGAUGGUUGGAGAAAGAGAGAGACCACAGCUGGUGCGAAGCUAACGAGGGGUCAAAAGAAAAGAAAACAGGGCCUCGGUAUGUAUGUACAUAGAGAGGGCAUAUCAGCAUCAUAUUCUCUUCUUGUAUACUGUCACUAACUAUGCCAUUAAGAGAGGGACCUUUUGGGAGCAUUAUGCUCUUCUUUCCUUGUCUAUCUAUGUUACAGUACAUCUUUCCUAUGUUAUGAGCAUUGGUUCUUGUUUCUCUUUUUUGUCACUUUUUACUCGAAUGGUAGAAAGAGGAUGAUGGCUUAUUGAAUUUUGUUCAAACUCCAAACUUUAGCCUUGUUGUUGUAAGCCAUCCUUAGUAAAAGUGGCCCUUUUCGUCGACACGACCUUUCUAUUCGGGAAUUACUAACUUAUCA
Syzygium oleosum is the source of this 2144-nucleotide long non-coding RNA. RefSeq lists it as uncharacterized. The transcript is spliced from 2 exons. The record is from RefSeq and is a predicted model, not a curated record. NCBI's taxonomy places the organism in Eukaryota, Viridiplantae, Streptophyta, Magnoliopsida, Myrtales, Myrtaceae.